Molecule: non-coding RNA, 975 nt
Filed under: Pelodiscus axenaria (Hunan softshell turtle)
Lineage: Eukaryota; Metazoa; Chordata; Testudines; Trionychidae
Also listed under: 1 other name
Description: 12S ribosomal RNA
Rfam family: Bacterial small subunit ribosomal RNA
Source: RNAcentral
CAAAGAUUUGGUCCUAAUCUUAAUGUUACUUUUUACUAAACCUACACAUGUAAGUAUCAGCAAACCAGUGAAAAUGCCCUAAAAGUCCACACCAGACAAAAGGAGCCGGUAUCAGGCACGCCAUGACAGCCCAAAACACCUUGCUUCGCCACACCCCCAAGGGUACUACAACAGUGAUUAAUUUUAAGCAAUAAGCAUAAGCUUGACUUAGUUAUAGUAAAUUACAUUCAGGGUUGGUAAAUCUCGUGCCAGCCACCGCGGUUAUACAAGAAACCCAAAGCAACAAUAAUAACGGCGUAAAAUGUGGUUAAACCAAAUUCAUAAAAACCUAAGGUUGCCCCUCCACCAAACUGUCAUACGUAAAGUACAAAUCAACCCAAUAUGAAAAUAACCUUAAUAUAUCAGAAAACUUGAAUCCACGAUCGUUAAGAUACAAACUGGGAUUAGAUACCCCACUAUGCUUAACCCUAAACUUAGAUACUUCAAAUACAAAACUAUCCGCCAGAAAACUACGAGUAAAACACUUAAAACUCCAAGGACUUGGCGGUACCUCAAAUCCACCUAGAGGAGCCUGUUCUAUAAUCGAUAAUCCACGAUAAACCUCACCAUCCUUUGCCAACUCAGCCUAUAUACCACCGUCACAGCCUACCUUAUGAAAGUCAAAAAGUAAGCUCAAUAGCCACAACAGCUAACAAGUCAGGUCAAGGUGUAGCCAAUUAAGAUGGAAGAAAUGGGCUACAUUUUCUAUAAUAGAAAUAAACCACGGAACAGAACUAUGAAACAUAGUCUAGAUAAGAAGGAUUUAGCAGUAAAUUAAGAGCAGAGAGCCUAAUUUAAACCGGACCUGAGGUGCGCACACACCGCCCGUCACCCCCAUCAACCAACAAAUACUCAACCGUAAAUAACAUCUUAAACACAAACAGAUGGGGUAAGUCGUAACAAGGUAAGUAUACCGGAAGGUGUACUUGGACUACA